This 440-nucleotide ribosomal RNA is filed under the name uncultured bacterium. RNAcentral's name for it is "partial 16S ribosomal RNA". It matches the Rfam family "Bacterial small subunit ribosomal RNA", at positions 338 to 795 of the family's 1533-position model. The record is from RNAcentral.
CCUACGGGAGGCAGCAGUGGGGAAUAUUGCACAAUGGGGGAAACCCUGAUGCAGCGACGCCGCGUGAGUGAAGAAGUAUCUCGGUACGUAAAGCUCUAUCAGCAGGAAAGCAAAUGACGGUACCUGACUAAGAAGCCCCGGCUAACUACGUGCCAGCAGCAGCGGUAUUACGUAGGGGGCAAGCGUUAUCCGGAUUUACUGGGUGUAAAGGGAGCGUAGGCGGCGCUGCAAGUCCGGAGUGAAAGCCCAUGGCUUAACCAUGGUACUGCUCUGGAAACUGUAGAGCUUGAGUGCGGGAGGGGCAGGCGGAAUUCCUAGUGUAGCGGUGAAAUGCGUAGAUAUCAGGAGGAACACCGGCGGCGAAGGCGGCCUGCUGGAUCGUAACUGACGUUGAGGCUCGAAAGCGUGGGGAGCAAACAGGAUUAGAUACCCCAGUAGUC